RNAcentral lists this ribosomal RNA (422 nucleotides) under uncultured bacterium. RNAcentral's name for it is "bacterial SSU rRNA". It matches the Rfam family "Bacterial small subunit ribosomal RNA", at positions 359 to 773 of the family's 1533-position model. The record is from RNAcentral.
GAAUUUUGGACCAUGGGGGCAACCCUGAUCCAGCCAUCCCGCGUGUGCGAUGAAGGCCUUCGGGUUGUAAAGCACUUUUGGCAGGGCAGAAAAGGCUCUGGCUAAUUCCUGGAGCUGCUGACGGUACCUGCAGAAAAAGCACCGGCUACAUACGUGCCCGCAGCCGCGGUAAGACGUAGGGUGCAAGCGUGAAUCGGAAUUACUGGGCGUAAAGCGUGCGCAGGCGGUUCGGCAAGAAGGAUGUGAAAUCCCAGGGCUUAACCUUGGAACUGCAUUCUUAACUGCCGGGCUAGAGUAUGUCAGAGGGGGGUAGAAUUCCGCGUGUAGCAGUGAAAUGCGUAGAGAUGCGGAGGAAUACCGAUGGCGAAGGCAGCCCCCUGGGAUAAUACUGACGCUCAUGCACGAAAGCGUGGGGAGCAAAC